This 495-nucleotide ribosomal RNA is filed under the name uncultured bacterium. Its description in RNAcentral is "partial 16S ribosomal RNA". It matches the Rfam family "Bacterial small subunit ribosomal RNA", at positions 28 to 507 of the family's 1533-position model. The record is from RNAcentral.
GACGAACGCUGGCGGCGUGCCUAAUACAUGCAAGUAGAACGCUGAAGGAGGAGCUUGCUUCUCUGGAUGAGUUGCGAACGGGUGGGUAACGCGUAGGUAACCUGCCUGGUAGCGGGGGAUAACUAUUGGAAACGAUAGCUAAUACCGCAUAAGAGUAGAUGUUGCAUGACAUUUGCUUAAAAGGUGCAAUUGCAUCACUACCAGAUGGACCUGCGUUGUAUUAGCUAGUUGGUGGGGUAACGGCUCACCAAGGCGACGAUACAUAGCCGACCUGAGAGGGUGAUCAGCCACACUGGGACUGAGACACGGCCCAGACUCCUACGGGAGGCAGCAGUAGGGAAUCUUCGGCAAUGGACGGAAGUCUGACCGAGCAACGCCGCGUGAGUGAAGAAGGUUUUCGGAUCGUAAAGCUCUGUUGUAAGAGAAGAACGAGUGUGAGAGUGGAAAGUUCACACUGUGACGGUAUCUUACCAGAAAGGGACGGCUAACUACGUG